This is a long non-coding RNA of Lynx canadensis (Canada lynx), 1830 nucleotides long. RefSeq lists it as uncharacterized. The transcript is spliced from 4 exons. The record is from RefSeq and is a predicted model, not a curated record. Lineage: Eukaryota; Metazoa; Chordata; Mammalia; Carnivora; Felidae.
GAAUUUCUACGGCGGGAAUGCGUCGGGACUGAGCCCGAGUCUCCCGAGGCUGACUCGUGCCCCCGCCCCGCCCCGUUCAUCUGCGUGUCUGAAAACGUCGCGUUUGAACCACCCACGGCCAGGGCACCUGAGGCGGUUGUUCAAAAAUGUAGCUCCCCGGGCCCCGCCCCGGCGUGCCUCCCGAAGUCCCAGGCUCUUCUCCGGUUGCAGUCUGAAAAUAGCACACGGCGAGGCGCAAGGGGGACCCGAAAGGGGCUCUGUCCUGCAGGAAGUCUAAUUCCCGAGCCUUUGGUGGUAUUGGGACCUGGGCCAGAGGAGGUGACCUCAGCCAGACAGCACCCCGGGAUUGUGCUCGUUGAUACCAGAGGCUUACAGAGCAGAGACACAGCGACCGUCAUCUCCUGGGCGCACUGAGUCACAGCCCAGCAGGUUGACUGCGUUACUAAGUGUGAGCUAACCUGCUAUGUGGAGCAAACUCUGCGCCCAUGUAAUUACAUACUCCAGUCAGCGGCUGGGUUUGUUCAUACGUUCUUGCUCAGAAUCUUUGCUCCAAGAAAAAGGGAGAAAUGAUAAAUCGGAACCACACUUUGGUUUCUCCACUUGAACACCAUUUCGUGCGCUAGUUGGGAAAAGAAUAAAGAUUGAAGAAGUCCUACGGUGAUGCGAAUUGAAGGAAAUUUGGAUCCUGUUUUUGUAAGGUCGCUUUUCUUUCAAAGACGCUACUACGCUGCCCCUGUAGAAAUAGCCAAAAGAAGAAGGGACCAUAUGUAUGGAUGGGGCUGGUACGAUCCAUGCUUCAACAGCAGUCCCUUCAACCUUGCUUGAAUGUGGAGGUUCGAUAGACCACCAGACUCCAGGGAUAAACUACCUUGGCUUGAAAGGAACGCUAUCAUCACUGAUAGCUGACCACUAUGUUGUUCGCCAGCAUAUGAAAGCUACGCUGAAUUGUUUAACAACGUUGUGUUUCAACUGAUGAGUAGAAAACUUCACUGAACCAUGCACAAUAAUGGAGAUUGGACUGAUGGUUCGCAAAGACGAAAGAGAUGGACAGCACAGAGAUGCCAAUAAUUUUAAAUAUAAUCUUAAAAAAAACUUCAUUCUUAAAGUGAGUGAGAACAGUAUACAUAAGGAAGAGGCAACUGCCCUGGUCAUUGUCACACCCAGAUGUGAUGACGGGACCUGCCGCGGGCAUCUUGCAAGCAGACAGGAGCCAGCUUGCAGACAAGACCAACACAGCAAGAUGACACGGCCGAAUGUGGACCUGAGUCCUUCACGAUACUGUGGAGCUGAUCAAGUAACCCAGGAGUGUGCUUACCGUGGGCUUCCUGGCGUCUAAGGUGCUGACACUAUAGAAAGCGGAAAGGAAGCCCAACAGGGACUCAACAUAGACAACGAUAUUAUUGAAAACAGAGCAACUACUGGAAGAAGGAAUUCUCAGUCAACAACAGAGAAAACAUGAAACAGAAGUUCAACUCAACGCUUAAUUCACAUUGUUAAAAACAAGACAGCAGGACCAAAAUGGAGUCACUCACGGUAAGCCCAUGUCAUCACACCAAGACUUAAUUACAGUUUUGAUCUCUCCGAGAAAUGGAAUCUUAAACCAAUGAAUCACUAAUCACCUGAUCAGCACUAGUGAAGAAGUUUGCCUGAGAGACUCCUAUGAUCCCCUAAAGAAAAGUGACUGUGCCCCAGCCAGUCCACUUCCUGCUAGUAUAACUUUCUUGUUACUGCUCCCUUCCGGCUAUAAAAGUCUUUUAUUUUGUACAGCCUCUCACAGCUCUUUUCUGUCUGCUAAACAGGAUGCUGCCCAUUUCGUGAAUCACUGAAUAA